UUUUUAGACAUGGUUCUUUCCCGAAAGCUACCGAUGGAAAAUGAUGUUGACUUAGAUGCCAUCGCACAUAUGACAGAAGGAUUUAGUGGAGCUGACCUGCAAGCUCCAAGCUCUUCUAUCAGAUGCACAACUUGCGGCAGUUCAUGAACAUCUGAGUGCAGACAGCAGCAAACAUGGGAAAAUGCCAGUCAUAACUGAUGCCUUGUUGAAGUCCAUUGCUUCCAAAGCAAGACCAUCCAUUUCUGAAUCUGAGAAGCGGAGACUAUAUGGUAUUUAUAACCAGUUCUUGGAUUCAAAGAAAUCUGCUGCCGCCCAGUCAAAGGAUGCAAAGGGCAAAAGGGCUACUCUAGCAUGAUGGAUAGCCAGAUACAGCUAGCUAGUCACGUUCAAUGAGGCAGUUGGUGUUGCACUACUUUCCAGUAUUGACAAACAGUUGGUAUGGGAAAAAAAAAAGCCACGAUACUUCCGAAUCAAUUUUAACAGAAGAUCUUACAUUACAUUCCAUUCCAUUUUCUCCAUUGUAGAAAAUUAGAUAUAGAUUUAUUCAUUUUCCAACUCUUUGUAUUUCAAUUGAUGUAUAAUUUUCUAUUAAGAUGGAUAUAACUACUGCUGUAUAGAUACUCUGAAUCAUUUGUAUUAAUCUGAGAUCUGAGAUCAACUUUAAACCAACGAAGUUUGAUAUCAGAUAAAAGUCAUAUGAUCAAAAGAAAUGUUUGAACAUCCCUUUGAAAGAGGUUGAGGUUUAUGAUCGAAACAAAGAAA
Jatropha curcas is the source of this 762-nucleotide non-coding RNA. Lineage: Eukaryota; Viridiplantae; Streptophyta; Magnoliopsida; Malpighiales; Euphorbiaceae. The record is from RefSeq and is a predicted model, not a curated record.